GGGGCUGACAAAGCUUAGACGGGACAUUAACAGAUAUCAGGCACGUCGAUUAAUACCGUAAGUAUAAAUAAGUGAAGAAAAAUCUUCCAAGCAUGUGCUUUUUGCACCUGCAUACGCUUAAGAUAUAAUUAUUAAGCUGGCCCCUGUUUUGAGUUUCCAUAGAGACAGAGGUUAUCAUACAUAUGGGAAUAGAUUUUCUCUCUGGUAAAGAGAAGAUCGAAGCUAAAUACCUCGGUUCUAACAGUCUCGUUUGUUCAUCUGUUAGUUUAUCUUAAAGAAGAAGAAACUAAGCGUGUAGAAUGAUGUCCAAGUGGUGUUUCGGACCCGGAGGCAGUAUCCGGCAGCUCCACCA
RNAcentral lists this transfer-messenger RNA (352 nucleotides) under Candidatus Saccharimonadota bacterium. It matches the Rfam family "transfer-messenger RNA". From Rfam's summary of the family: Bacterial tmRNA, also known as 10Sa RNA or SsrA, is named for its dual tRNA and mRNA-like properties. Its role is to liberate the mRNA from a stalled ribosome. Lineage: Bacteria; Candidatus Saccharimonadota. The record is from RNAcentral.